This is a long non-coding RNA of Equus caballus (horse), 1629 nucleotides long. The record is from Ensembl. Lineage: Eukaryota; Metazoa; Chordata; Mammalia; Perissodactyla; Equidae.
AGAGGAAUUCAGCCUUCUCUCUCUGCCCUUUGUGCUGAUUGGAGAGGGGACUGAGGGGGCAGACUCGGGAGCUGGGCAGACCUGGACUGGAGCUGCGGCCCCACCGCUCACCUGCUGCGCAACGUGGGCAAGUCCCUUCGCCUCGCGGAACCUCCGUCACCAUGCCCGUUAAAGUGGAGGUGGUUCCAGAGUCUUCCUCCUCUGUGGCUUCCAUCUCUGCUGUCUCUCUCUCUCCUGCAACGCAUCAACCUGCUAAACCCCUUUACUGCACCGUAGAGGGUCUCAGAGAGGCUGCAGGUGCGUGAGCAUCAGCACGGAUCAGGAGUCAGAAAAACUUAGGCUGGGGCCCAGGGAAACCACUUACCAGCUACAUGACCUUGGCAGGGGUUCCUAUAACUCCUCGGAAGCUCUUUGCUCCGUGAGGUUGUGAUAAUAAUCCCUGCCUUGCGUAUCUUGAAGGACUUUGGCAAGGAAAAACGCGUUGUGCAUGCGAAAGAGCUCAGAAAAUGCUCUGAACGCCUGGACACAUCUAUGCCUGCUUGCCUCCCACUUUCAGACCCAGGAUGCUCCCCUCAGGUUCGCCCUUUCGUGCUGUGUUAGGAACCACCAGCAUCUGGGAGGCGGAAUGGCUCACGCGGCAGUAAAGAGCCCUGCGUCUGCCGGCAGCCACAUCCACUAAAAGGCAUCUAUUACACUUCGACUAUGGGCCAGAUGCCGUGCUGGUUGCUGGGGAUGCAAAGAGAAAUAAGGCACGAGUCUUGCCCUCCAGGAAUUUGCAGUCUUGUGAGCAAGGAGUAAUAAAAAGACUCGCUUCCAUUUAUUGAGCACCUGCUGUGCCGCAGACUAUGUGGGGCUUACACACGUCCUCUCAGUAAAUCCCUGCAAGGACCCAGGACUGAAGCCCAAGCCGAGUGACAGGGGCCAGAGGCCUUGUCUCAACCAGCACUGUCUCCUGUCUUCUGGGAUCGGCUGGUCAGCUCCAUACAAUCCUGUCAUCAUCCCCACCGUACAGACGAGGAAACUGAGGUUCAGAGAUGUCAAGUCUCUUCCCAAGAUCACACAGCUCGUGAGUGGAGCGGCCAGGAUUUGAACCCACAUCUGCCUGGCUCCAAGCCUGGUGGGAAGGGAAAAGCGAGGAGGGAUUUUCAAGACUCCCAUCAUGAAACUCGAGCCUGGUGGUGUCCAAUUGUUAGAGCUGGACCUGAGGAUCAUUCCAGAAGCCCAGGAGGGUAUUGACCAUGCCCCUCAACCUGUUCUCCUCUUGGCCCCAGAGAAGCCCUUCUCCAAGACGCAGCUGUGGCCAAGCUCUCUUGGGCCAGAGCAUCCUGAGGGCCCACGAGGGGGCAGUGUCCCUGGUGCCCGCUCUCCAGUCCCGACCCGGCCAGCUCCUCUUGCAGCGUCUCAAGGGAGGGGCAGGGGGUCCAGGAUUAGUUUGGUGAGAAGAAAUGGAAUGAGAGAGGGGAGGAGCUGUGCUGGGGAGAGCUCGUAGCCCCUCAGAAGUGAGCCUGUGAAUCAGAGGCACCAAACACGUAAUAAACAUUGUAGCAGGGCUUGCGGCUGGUUCCUGCCUACUAGGUUUUGUGCUACUAGCCUUUCCUGCUAUACCCCUUAUUUAGUCCUCAAAGCAAC